RNAcentral lists this ribosomal RNA (592 nucleotides) under uncultured bacterium. Its description in RNAcentral is "bacterial SSU rRNA". It matches the Rfam family "Bacterial small subunit ribosomal RNA", at positions 341 to 933 of the family's 1533-position model. The record is from RNAcentral.
ACGGGAGGCAGCAGUGAGGAAUAUUGGUCAAUGGACGAGAGUCUGAACCAGCCAAGUCGCGUGAAGGAAGACGGAUCUAUGGUUUGUAAACUUCUUUAGUGCGGGAACAAAGCGGCGUCGUGACGCCUGAUGAGUGUACCGCAAGAAUAAGCAUCGGCUAACUCCGUGCCAGCAGCCGCGGUAAUACGGAGGAUGCGAGCGUUAUCCGGAUUUAUUGGGUUUAAAGGGAGCGCAGGCUGCGAGGCAAGUCAGCGGUCAAAUGUCGGGGCUCAACCCCGGCCUGCCGUUGAAACUGUCCUGCUAGAGUUCGAGUGAGGUAUGCGGAAUGCGUUGUGUAGCGGUGAAAUGCAUAGAUAUGACGCAGAACUCCGAUUGCGAAGGCAGCAUACCAACUCGCGACUGACGCUGAGGCUCGAAAGCGUGGGUAUCGAACAGGAUUAGAUACCCUGGUAGUCCACGCGGUAAACGAUGGAUGCUAACUGUUCGGAGGGCGACCUCUGAGUGGUAAAGCGAAAGCGUUAAGUAUUCCACCUGGGGAGUACGCCGGCAACGGUGAAACUCAAAGGAAUUGACGGGGGCCCGCACAAGCGGA